UUGCUAGCCAGAUACUGACAUUGAGGCACGAAAGCGUGGGGAGCAAACAGGAUUAGAUACCCUGGUAGUCCACGCCCUAAACGAUGAGUACUAAGUGUUGGUGAUAAAUCAGUGCUGAAGUUAACGCAUUAAGUACCCCGCCUGAGUAGUACGUACGCAAGUAUGAAACUUAAAGGAAUUGACGGGAGCCCGCACAAGCGGUGGAGCAUGUUGUUUAAUUCGACGAUACGCGAAGAACCUUACCAGGUCUUGACAUCUAGGUGUUAGUUAUAGAGAUAUAGCGAGAUUGCCUAAGACAGGUGGUGCAUGGUUGUCGUCAGCUCGUGUCGUGAGAUGUUGGGUUAAGUCCCGCAACGAGCGCAACCCUUAUUUCUAGUUACCAUCAUUCAGUUGGGGACUCUAGAGAGACUGCCAGUGAUAAAUUGGAGGAAGGUGGGGAUGACGUCAAAUCAUCAUGCCCUUUAUGACCUGGGCUACAAACGUGCUACAAUGGCUUAAACAAAGAGAAGCGAAGCAGUGAUGUGGAGCAAACCUCAUAAAAGCAGUCUCAGUUCGGAUUGAAGUCUGCAACUCGACUUCAUGAAGUUGGAAUCGCUAGUA
RNAcentral lists this ribosomal RNA (600 nucleotides) under uncultured bacterium. Its description in RNAcentral is "bacterial SSU rRNA". It matches the Rfam family "Bacterial small subunit ribosomal RNA", at positions 726 to 1340 of the family's 1533-position model. The record is from RNAcentral.